CUUAGUGGCAAACGGGUGAGUAACACGUGGGUUACCUGCCUUCAAGAUGGGGAUAACAGUUGGAAACGAUUGCUAAUACCGAAUGUGAUCUACGGAUUAAAGAAGCCUUUAAAGCUUCGCUUGAAGAUGGGCCUGCGGUGCAUUAGCUAGUUGGUGAGAUAAUGGCCCACCAAGGCGACGAUGCAUAGCCGAACUGAGAGGUUAAUCGGCCACAUUGGGACUGAGACACGGCCCAAACUCCUACGGGAGACAGCAGUUAGGAAUAUUCGUCAAUGGGGGAAACCCUGAACGAGCAAUGCCGCGUGAGUGAUGACGGUCCUCUGGAUUGUAAAACUCUGUUGUUUGGAAAGAACUGUAAGAAGAGGAAAUGCUUCUUACUUGACGGUACCAUUCAAGAAAGCCACGGCUAACUACGUGCCAGCAGCCGCGGUAAUACGUAGGUGGCGAGCGUUAUCCGGAUUUAUUGGGCGUAAAGCGUCCGCAGCCGGUUUAUUAAGUCUAGAAUAAAAGCCUGGAGCUCAACUCCAGUUCGUUCUAGAAACUGAUAUACUUGAGUGUAGUAGAGGCAAAUGGAAUUUCUAGUGUAGCGGUAAAAUGCGUAGAUAUUAGAAGGAACACCAGUGGCGAAGGCGAUUUGCUAGGCUAUUACUGACGGUCAGGGACGAAAGCGUGGGGAGCAAAUAGGAUUAGAUACCCUAGUAGUCCACGCCGUAAACGAUGGUCACUAAGUGUCGGGGGUCAGACCCCGGUGCUGCAGUCAACGCAAUAAGUGACCCGCCUGAGUAGUACGUUCGCAAGAAUGAAACUCAAAGGAAUUGACGGGGGCCCGCACAAGCGGUGGAGCAUGUGGUUUAAUUCGAUGAUACGCGAGGAACCUUACCCGGGCUCAAACGACAGCGGACAGCGCCUGAAAGGGCGUCUCCGGCAGCGGCCGCUGUCGAGGUGCUGCAUGGUUGUCGUCAGCUCGUGCCGUGAGGUGUCGGCUUAAGUGCCAUAACGAGCGCAACCCCCAUCUCCAGUUGCCACCGGGUCGUGCCGGGCACUCUGGAGGGACUGCCAGCGCAAGCUGCGAGGAAGGCGGGGAUGACGUCAAAUCAGCACGGCCCUUACGUCCGGGGCGACACACGUGUUACAAUGGCGGAGAACAGAGGGGAGCCACGUGGCGACACGGAGCCGAUCCCGAAAAUCCGUCUCAGUUCGGAUUGGAGUCUGCAACCCGACUCCAUGAAGCUGGAUUCGCUAGUAAUCGCGCAUCAGCCAUGGCGCGGUGAAUACGUUCCCGGGCCUUGUACACACCGCCCGUCA
RNAcentral lists this ribosomal RNA (1305 nucleotides) under uncultured bacterium. RNAcentral describes it as "partial 16S ribosomal RNA". It matches the Rfam family "Bacterial small subunit ribosomal RNA", at positions 91 to 1399 of the family's 1533-position model. The record is from RNAcentral.